AGUCGUGGGGGAUAACGUAGCGAAAGCUACGCUAAUACCGCAUGUGAUCUGUGGAUGAAAGCGGGGGACUCGCAAGAGCCUCGCGCGAUUGGAGCGGCCGACAUCAGAUUAGCUUGUUGGUGGGGUAAAAGCCUACCAAGGCGACGAUCUGUAGCUGGUCUGAGAGGACGACCAGCCACACUGGGACUGAGACACGGCCCAGACUCCUACGGGAGGCAGCAGUGGGGAAUUUUGGACAAUGGACGAAAGUCUGAUCCAGCCAUGCCGCGUGCAGGAAGAAGGCCUUCGGGUUGUAAACUGCUUUUGUCAGGGAAGAAAUCCUUUGAGCUAAUACCUCGGGGGGAUGACGGUACCUGAAGAAUAAGCACCGGCUAACUACGUGCCAGCAGCCGCGGUAAUACGUAGGGUGCGAGCGUUAAUCGGAAUUACUGGGCGUAAAGCGUGCGCAGGCGGUUAUACAAGACAGAUGUGAAAUCCCCGGGCUCAACCUGGGAACUGCAUUUGUGACUGUAUAGCUAGAGUACGGUAGAGGGGGAUGGAAUUCCGCGUGUAGCAGUGAAAUGCGUAGAUAUGCGGAGGAACACCGAUGGCGAAGGCAAUCCCCUGGACCGGUACUGACGCUCAUGCACGACAGCGUGGGGAGCAAACAGGCUUAGAUACCCAGCA
Molecule: ribosomal RNA, 666 nt
Filed under: uncultured bacterium
Lineage: Bacteria
Description: bacterial SSU rRNA
Rfam family: Bacterial small subunit ribosomal RNA
Source: RNAcentral